GUGUUUGUUCUGUGGAUGAGGUAACGAGGGCACCCGGAGUUUAAGUGACUUCCUUGUCACACCCUUCCCGCACGGCAGGACCAAGACAGUCGUCACGAUUCCUGGUGCGGAGCCCCCGUGGCGCGAGCUGUCUCCCCCGGGGGAGGCUGGAAGGUACACCUGCUUCGAGUUGUGAGCAGGCCCUCAGCCGGGGUCAAAGGCAAGUUCCCGCAGGACGGAAUGUCGAUAUCCUCGGUCCCAAGGGGCAGAAGGAGCCUGAUUGGACUCUUGCCGCGAUCGGCACGCGUGCAGAACGGGCGCCCGGCAGAGGUGACGACGGUGGUGAUCAUCACAAUCAGAGUCUGUGUGGGUGAAAGUUGAAACUUCGGGGCCACGGCCUACCGGGUGUGUGCUCAGAGAUUCACAGCCAUGCGUGACCUCCCCCGUCCCGGGCCACCAGACCAGCCGUGGAGUCACUGGAGCCUGGGUGCCUGUUCGGGAGGGACGUGAGCCCCACCCAGCCUCUGCCCAGCCUCUGCAGAGCUCGUCUCCCAUGGAAUCGCCAGCUGAAUUCGGUGACCGCAGGGGGCAAAACCGAGCCUUUAUUUUACUUCCUGUGUCAUCAACAAGCUAAAACUUUUUAAUAAAACCAUCUGUUCUUCUUAAAUACUAAAUAAGAAAAUGUCAACAAAUAUUGCUG
This is a long non-coding RNA of Panthera uncia (snow leopard), 679 nucleotides long. RefSeq lists it as uncharacterized. The transcript has 3 exons. The record is from RefSeq and is a predicted model, not a curated record. NCBI's taxonomy places the organism in Eukaryota, Metazoa, Chordata, Mammalia, Carnivora, Felidae.